UUAAGAAAGUAAGGGCACACAGUGAAUGCCUAGGCACUAAGAGCCGAAGAAGGACGCAACUAACGGCGAAACGCCACGGGAAGCAGUAAGUAUGUGAAGAUCCGUGGGUAUCCGAAUGAGGGAACUCGGCAUGUAGAAGACAUGUCACGUCGAAAGACGAGGGAAACGCAGUGAAUUGAAAUAUCUUAGUAACUGCAGGAAAAGAAAGUAAAAACGAUUCUGCGAGUAGCGACGAGCGAAAGUGGAGGAGCCCGAUACCAUAAUAGUUACAAAACUUUAUGUGAGAAGAACAACCUGGGAAGGUUGACCAAAGAAGGUGAAAGUCCUGUAAACGAAGCAUAAAGACUAGGGUAUCAAAGAGUACAGCGGGACACGAGAAAUCUUGCUGGAACUAUAAGGAGGACCAUCUCCUAAGGCUAAAUACUACUUAGUGACCGAUAGUGAACCAGUACCGUGAGGGAAAGGUGAAAAGAACCCCGGGAGGGGAGUGAAAGAGAUCCUGAAACUGUGUGCUUACAGUUAGUCAGAGCCCGUUAAUGGGUGAUGGCUUGCCUUUUGCAGAAUGAACCGGCGAGUUACGUUAACUAGCAAGGUUAAGCUUUAAGGAGCGGAGCCGAAGCGAAAGCGAGUCUGAAUAGGGCGAAUAAGUUAGUUGAUGUAGACCCGAAACUGGGUGAUCUAGCCAUGAGCAGGUUGAAGUUUAGGUAAAACUAAAUGGAGGACCGAACCAGGGCACGUUGAAAAGUGCUUGGAUGACUUGUGGCUAGGGGUGAAAUUCCAAUCGAACCCAGAGAUAGCUGGUUCUCCCCGAAAUAGCUUUAGGGCUAGCGUUAAUGAGUAUUUUAUGAAGGUAGAGCACUGAAUGUGUGAUGGCCCCACCUCGGGGUACUGAACACAAUUAAACUUCGAAUGUCAUAAAAGUGAAAUUAGCAGUCAGACUGUGGGUGAUAAGGUCCAUGGUCAAAAGGGAAACAGCCCAGACCGCCAGUUAAGGUCCCAAAAUUCAUGUUGAGUGGAAAAGGAAGUGGAGAUGCACAAACAACUAGGAGGUUGGCUUAGAAGCAGCCAUCCUUUAAAGAGUGCGUAAUAGCUCACUAGUCGAGUGACUCUGCGCCGAAAAUGUACCGGGGCUAAACAUGAUACCGAAGCUGCGGAUUUGAAAGUAAUUUCAAGUGGUAGGGGAGCGUUCUAACAGCGAAGAAGGCGUACCGUGAGGAGCGCUGGAGUGGUUAGAAGUGAGAAUGCCGGUGUAAGUAACGAAAAGAUAGGUGAGAAUCCUAUCCGUCGAAAACCCAAGGAUUCCAGGGGAAGGUUCGUCCGCCCUGGGUAAGUCGGGGCCUAAGGUGAGGCUGAAAAGCGUAGCCGAUGGAUAUCAGGUAGAGAAUCCUGAACUAGUAAAUAGACUGAAGGAGUGACAGAGGAGGAUAACACUUGCCCCUUAGUGGAUUGGGGUCGAGAAUACGAGUCUGUGGUAUAGGCAAAUCCGUACCACGUGAAGGAUGAGUAUUGACAGGUAAAAGGUGAUGACUUCAAACUCUCUAGAAAAGCUUCUAAGAUUAAUUUAUUUACUACCCGUACCGUAAACCGACACAGGUGGGUGGGUAGAGAAUACUAAGACGCGCGAGAAAACUCUUGUUAAGGAACUCGGCAAAAUGACUCCGUAACUUCGGGAUAAGGAGGACUUUUAAUGAAAAAAGAAAGUCGCAGAGAAUAGACCCAAGCGACUGUUUAUCAAAAACACAGGUCUCUGCAAAACCGUAAGGUGAAGUAUAGGGGCUGACGCCUGCCCGGUGCUGGAAGAUUAAGAGGAGAUGUCAGGAAACGAAGCAUUGAAUUGAAGUCCCAGUAAACGGCGGCCGUAACUAUAACGGUCCUAAGGUAGCGAAAUUCCUAGUCGGGUAAAUUCCGACCCGCACGAAAGGCGUAACGAUUUGGGUGCUGUCUCAACAAGAGACUCGGUGAAAUCAAGAUGCCGGUGAAAACGCCGGCCACCCGCGACAGGACGAAAAGACCCCAUGGAGCUUUACUGUAACUUGAUAUUGAUAUUGGGUGCAGAAUGUACAGGAUAGGUGGGAGACUUGGAAGCUGGAACGCUAGUUUCGGUGGAGUCGACCUUUGGAUACCACCCUUUCUGUAUCUGAUAUCUAACCUCGGUAAGUGGAUUACCAGGGACAGUGUCUGGUGGGCAGUUUGGCUGGGGCGGCCGCCUCCUAAAAAGUAACGGAGGCGCCCGAAGGUUCCCUCAGAAUGGUCGGAAAUCAUUCAUAGAGUGCAAAGGCAGAAGGGAGCUUGACUGCGAGACAAACAAGUCGAGCAGGUACGAAAGUAGGGCUUAGUGAUCUUACGGUUCCGCAUGGAAGGGCCGUGACUCAACGGAUAAAAGCUACCCUGGGGAUAACAGGCUUAUCGCAUCCAAGCGUUCACAGCGACGAUGCGGUUUGGCACCUCGAUGUCGGCUCGUCACAUCCUGGAGGUGGAGAAGCUUCCAAGGGUUGGACUGUUCGUCCAUUAAAGUGGCACGCGAGCUGGGUUCAGAACGUCGUGAGACAGUUCGGUCUCUAUCCGUCGUGGGCGUUGGAAAUUUGAAGGGUGCUGCUCCUAGUAUGAGAAGACCGGAGUGGACAUACCACUGGUGCACCAGUUGGCCUGCCAGGGCCACAGCUGGGUAGCUAUGUAUGGAAGGGAUAAACGCUGAAAGCAUCUAAGCGUGAAGCCCCCCUUAAGAUGAGAUUUCCCAAUUUAGUAAGACCCCUUGAAGACGACAAGGUUGAUAGGCUGGGUGUGGAAGCAUGGUGACAUGUGGAGCUGACCAGUACUAAUAGGUCGAGGACUUAACCUU
Molecule: ribosomal RNA, 2839 nt
Filed under: Haploplasma axanthum
Lineage: Bacteria; Bacillati; Mycoplasmatota; Mollicutes; Acholeplasmatales; Acholeplasmataceae
Also listed under: 1 other name
Description: Acholeplasma axanthum 23S ribosomal RNA
Rfam family: Bacterial large subunit ribosomal RNA
Source: RNAcentral